Molecule: long non-coding RNA, 705 nt
Organism: Jaculus jaculus (lesser Egyptian jerboa)
Lineage: Eukaryota; Metazoa; Chordata; Mammalia; Rodentia; Dipodidae
Exons: 3
Source: RefSeq, a predicted model, not a curated record
AAGACGGAAAGAGAUAGAAUGGCGUGCCAAGACCUCUUGCUACUGCAAACAACCUGCAGACAUGUGCCGCUUUGUGCAUCUAUCUUUAUGUGGGUACUGGAGAAUUGAACCCCGGCCAGCAGCCUUUGUGAGCCAGUGCCUUUACCUGCUGAACCACCUCCCCAGCCCGGAACUUCUUUAGAUGCUUCAAUUGGGUUUAUAAGUAAGUGCUACAUGGAAGACCUUCAAAGCACAAGAGGCUGGCACACUGCUAGCUAAGACGUAGCACGUCUCUGCUUGGUGGUCGGCCAUGCCCUCUACCCAGCUCUGUUACCUGCCUCUUGAAAGACAUGAGACCUUCGGAGUGCAAUGGCUAGAGCAGAGGAGCCAGACGACCUAUGAGACAAGAUCUGUGGACCAAAAGGCCAGAUCACAAAGGACCUGGUUGACCAUUGUCAGGCCUUUGGUUUGUCUUGCUUUUGUUUAAUUGGGGAAUCUUUGGAAGGUUUCCUGCAGAGUGGUGAUAUCAUCUGACUUAUGUAAUAAAAGUCUUCCUGUGGCUGCCUGGUUGAGGAUAGGUGGGGAACGUAGACAAGACUGACAAACAGGGAGACUUUUAAAGAUGCCACUAUACACAUUUAUACAAUGGAGUUCUACUCAGCGGUAAAGAAAAAUGAAGCUAUGAAAUUUGCGGAAAAAUGGAUGGAACUGGAAAGGAUUAUACUA